RNAcentral lists this unclassified non-coding RNA (344 nucleotides) under Hevea brasiliensis (rubber tree). The record is from RNAcentral. Lineage: Eukaryota; Viridiplantae; Streptophyta; Magnoliopsida; Malpighiales; Euphorbiaceae.
GAUGUCAGAAUAUUAUCAUUUGUGAUGCUAGAAUUGACCUGAUGAGUAAACAUUUCUGAAUUCUUGGAGUUUAAAAGGAGAUUGUUGGUGUUUGAAUUUAUGGACAAGCCAAUGUUUGAACCAUAAUUCAAUUUCUCAAAGGAGAGGUAACUUGUCAACUGAUCAAGAGGCUUAUUGCAGCUAGCGGUGGAGGUUUCGUGUGUGGUAACAAACCUUUCAAGAAAGAAUUUGUGUGUUAGUGGCGCUGCAGAAGUAGUCGUAUUACUAGGAUAGUUGUCCAUAGUCAUUGUCACUAAAGAUGACUUUGAUUUAAUUCUGUAGUUGGAAUCCUCAAUAAUAUUCAG